RNAcentral lists this non-coding RNA (148 nucleotides) under uncultured Ochromonas. Lineage: Eukaryota; Chrysophyceae; Chromulinales; Chromulinaceae. The record is from RNAcentral.
UGCAGAAUGAGAGAAUGAAGAAGAGGAUGGAUGAAACAAGAGAAAUAUUGUGUGAUGCGUGUUUUGACGAGAGCAUGAAUUGCACAAUCAAAAUUGUUUUACUUACUUUCUUUUGUUUUUCUUUCUUCCUUUCUUUGUUUGUUUUUCU